GUGAAUAAGUCUCAUGAGAUCUGAUGGUUUUAUCAGGGGUUUCCGCUUUUGCAUCUUCCUCAUUCUCUCUUUGCCUGCUGUUAUCCACAUAAGAUGUGACUUGCUUCUCCUUGCCUUCAGUCAUGAUUGUGAGGCUUCCCCAGCCACGUGGAACUGUCUGGAGGCAUAGGAAGAAAAAGUGGUUUCAUGGGCCAGGUCCAGCUUCCCUGAGCUGUGUGCAGCCAAGAG
Molecule: long non-coding RNA, 228 nt
Filed under: Homo sapiens (human)
Lineage: Eukaryota; Metazoa; Chordata; Mammalia; Primates; Hominidae
Description: HSALNT0347435
Source: RNAcentral